This 468-nucleotide ribosomal RNA is filed under the name uncultured bacterium. RNAcentral's name for it is "partial 16S ribosomal RNA". It matches the Rfam family "Bacterial small subunit ribosomal RNA", at positions 28 to 507 of the family's 1533-position model. The record is from RNAcentral.
GACGAACGCUGGCGGCGUGCUUAACACAUGCAAGUCGAACGGAAAGGCCCUGCUUUUGUGGGGUGCUCGAGUGGCGAACGGGUGAGUAACACGUGAGUAACCUGCCCUUGACUUUGGGAUAACUUCAGGAAACUGGGGCUAAUACCGGAUAGGAGCUCCUGCUGCAUGGUGGGGGUUGGAAAGUUUCGGCGGUUGGGGAUGGACUCGCGGCUUAUCAGCUUGUUGGUGGGGUAGUGGCUUACCAAGGCUUUGACGGGUAGCCGGCCUGAGAGGGUGACCGGCCACAUUGGGACUGAGAUACGGCCCAGACUCCUACGGGAGGCAGCAGUGGGGAAUAUUGCACAAUGGGCGGAAGCCUGAUGCAGCAACGCCGCGUGCGGGAUGACGGCCUUCGGGUUGUAAACCGCUUUCGCCUGUGACGAAGCGUGAGUGACGGUAAUGGGUAAAGCAGCACCGGCUAACUACAUG